CCCUUAGAUGUCCUGGGCCGCACGCGCGCUACACUGAUGCAUGCAACGAGUUUAUAACCUUGGCCUGAAAGGUCUGGGUAAUCUUUUGAACGUGCAUCGUGAUAGGGAUAGAUUAUUGCAAUUGUUAAUCUUGAACGAGGAAUUCCUAGUAAGCGCAAGUCAUCAGCUUGCGUUGAUUACGUCCCUGCCCUUUGUACACACCGCCCGUCGCUACUACCGAUUGAAUGGUUUAGUGAGAUCCUUGGAUCGGCCCUGUCGCGGCUGGCAACGGCCGCGUCGGCGCGUCGAGAAGACGAUCAAACUUGAUCAUUUAGAGGAAGUAAAAGUCGUAACA
RNAcentral lists this ribosomal RNA (334 nucleotides) under uncultured eukaryote. RNAcentral describes it as "partial 18S ribosomal RNA". It matches the Rfam family "Eukaryotic small subunit ribosomal RNA", at positions 1470 to 1796 of the family's 1831-position model. The record is from RNAcentral.